RNAcentral lists this ribosomal RNA (494 nucleotides) under uncultured bacterium. RNAcentral describes it as "partial 16S ribosomal RNA". It matches the Rfam family "Bacterial small subunit ribosomal RNA", at positions 28 to 507 of the family's 1533-position model. The record is from RNAcentral.
GACGAACGCUGGCGGCGUGCUUAACACAUGCAAGUCGAACGGCGAAGCGCCUUCCUUUUUGGUGGGUGUGGAUGAGUUGCGAACGGGUGAGUAACACGUGAGUAACCUGCCCCUUUCUUCUGGAUAACCGCAUGAAAGUGUGGCUAAUACGGGAUAUUCUGGGUCUGUCGCAUGAUGGGUCUGUGAAAGAUAUUGUUUCGGUGGGGGAUGGGCUCGCGGUCUAUCAGGUUGUUGGUGGGGUGAUGGCCUACCAAGGCGGUGCCGGGUAGCCGGCCUGGGAGGGUGGACGGUCAUGCUGGGACUGAGACACGGCCCAGACUCCGACGGGAGGCAGCGGUGGGGAAUAUUGAACAGUGGGCGCAAGCCUGAUGCAGCGACGCCGCGUGAGGGAUGGAGGCCUUCGGGUUGUGAACCUCUUUCGGCAGUGAAGCGGGCCUGCCUCGUAUGUGGGUGGGUUGACGGUAGCUGGAUAAGAAGCACCGGCUAACUACGUG